GCAGGCCUAACACAUGCAAGUCGAGCGCAGUCCUUCGGGACCGAGCGGCGGACGGGUUAGUAACGCGUGGGAACAUACCCUUUUCUACGGAAUAGCCUCGGGAAACUGAGAGUAAUACCGUAUAAGCCCUUCGGGGGAAAGAUUUAUCGGGAAAGGAUUGGCCCGCGUUAGAUUAGAUAGUUGGUGGGGUAAUGGCCUACCAAGUCUACGAUCUAUAGCUGGUUUUAGAGGAUGAUCAGCAACACUGGGACUGAGACACGGCCCAGACUCCUACGGGAGGCAGCAGUGGGGAAUCUUAGACAAUGGGCGCAAGCCUGAUCUAGCCAUGCCGCGUGUGUGAUGAAGGUCUUAGGAUCGUAAAGCACUUUCGCCAGGGAUGAUAAUGACAGUACCUGGUAAAGAAACCCCGGCUAACUCCGUGCCAGCAGCCGCGGUAAUACGGAGGGGGUUAGCGUUGUUCGGAAUUACUGGGCGUAAAGCGUACGUAGGCGGAUCAGAAAGUAGGGGGUGAAAUCCCAGGGCUCAACCCUGGAACUGCCUCCUAAACUCCUGGUCUUGAGUUCGAGAGAGGUGAGUGGAAUUCCAAGUGUAGAGGUGAAAUUCGUAGAUAUUUGGAGGAACACCAGUGGCGAAGGCGGCUCACUGGCUCGAUACUGACGCUGAGGUACGAAAGUGUGGGGAGCAAACAGGAUUAGAUACCCUGGUAGUCCACACCGUAAACGAUGAAUGCCAGUCGUCGGGCAGUAUACUGUUCGGUGACACACCUAACGGAUUAAGCAUCCG
RNAcentral lists this ribosomal RNA (783 nucleotides) under uncultured Sulfitobacter sp. RNAcentral describes it as "bacterial SSU rRNA". It matches the Rfam family "Bacterial small subunit ribosomal RNA", at positions 42 to 871 of the family's 1533-position model. Lineage: Bacteria; Pseudomonadati; Pseudomonadota; Alphaproteobacteria; Rhodobacterales; Roseobacteraceae. The record is from RNAcentral.